GAGCUCGUAGGCGGUUUGUCGCGUCUGCUGUGAAAUCCGGAGGCUCAACCUCCGGCCUGCAGUGGGUACGGGCAGACUAGAGUGCGGUAGGGGAGAUUGGAAUUCCUGGUGUAGCGGUGGAAUGCGCAGAUAUCAGGAGGAACACCGAUGGCGAAGGCAGAUCUCUGGGCCGUAACUGACGCUGAGGAGCGAAAGGGUGGGGAGCAAACAGGCUUAGAUACCCUGGUAGUCCACCCCGUAAACGUUGGGAACUAGUUGUGGGGUCCAUUCCACGGAUUCCGUGACGCAGCUAACGCAUUAAGUUCCCCGCCUGGGGAGUACGGCCGCAAGGCUAAAACUCAAAGGAAUUGACGGGGACCCGCACAAGCGGCGGAGCAUGCGGAUUAAUUCGAUGCAACGCGAAGAACCUUACCAAGGCUUGACAUAUACGAGAACGGGCCAGAAAUGGUCAACUCUUUGGACACUCGUAAACAGGUGGUGCAUGGUUGUCGUCAGCUCGUGUCGUGAGAUGUUGGGUUAAGUCCCGCAACGAGCGCAACCCUCGUUCUAUGUUGCCAGCACGUAAUGGUGGGAACUCAUGGGAUACUGCCGGGGUCAACUCGGAGGAAGGUGGGGAUGACGUCAAAUCAUCAUGCCCCUUAUGUCUUGGGCUUCACGCAUGCUACAAUGGCCGGUACAAAGGGCUGCAAUACCGCGAGGUGGAGCGAAUCCCAAAAAGCCGGUCCCAGUUCGGAUUGAGGUCUGCAACUCGACCUCAUGAAGUCGGAGUCGCUAGUAAUCGCAGAUCAGCAACGCUGCGGUGAAUACGUUCCCGGGUCUUGUACACACCGCCCGUCAAGUCAUGAAAGUCGGUAACACCUGAAGCCGGUGGCCUAACCCUUGUGGAGGGAG
RNAcentral lists this ribosomal RNA (891 nucleotides) under Microbacterium sp. RNAcentral describes it as "bacterial SSU rRNA". It matches the Rfam family "Bacterial small subunit ribosomal RNA", at positions 565 to 1452 of the family's 1533-position model. Lineage: Bacteria; Bacillati; Actinomycetota; Actinomycetes; Micrococcales; Microbacteriaceae. The record is from RNAcentral.